GGACGAAAGUCUGAUGGAGCAACGCCGCGUGAGCGAAGAAGGCCUUCGGGUCGUAAAGCUCUGUUGUUAGGGAAGAACAAGUAUCGGAGUAACUGCCGGUACCUUGACGGUACCUAACCAGAAAGCCACGGCUAACUACGUGCCAGCAGCCGCAGUAAUACGUAGGUGGCAAGCGUUGUCCGGAAUUAUUGGGCGUAAAGCGCGCGCAGGCGGUCCUUUAAGUCUGAUGUGAAAGCCCACGGCUCAACCGUGGAGGGUCAUUGGAAACUGGGGGACUUGAGUGCAGAAGAGGAAAGCGGAAUUCCACGUGUAGCGGUGAAAUGCGUAGAGAUGUGGAGGAACACCAGUGGCGAAGGCGGCUUUCUGGUCUGUAACUGACGCUGAGGCGCGAAAGCGUGGGGAGCAAACAGGAUUAGAUACCCUGGUAGUCCACGCCGUAAACGAUGAGUGCUAAGUGUUAGGGGGUUUCCGCCCCUUAGUGCUGCAGCUAACGCAUUAAGCACUCCGCCUGGGGAGUACGG
RNAcentral lists this ribosomal RNA (521 nucleotides) under uncultured bacterium. Its description in RNAcentral is "bacterial SSU rRNA". It matches the Rfam family "Bacterial small subunit ribosomal RNA", at positions 373 to 885 of the family's 1533-position model. The record is from RNAcentral.